GUUCUUGCUUGGGUGGCACGUGUACUAAAAUUGGAAUGUUACAGAGGAGAUUAGCAUUACCCCUGUGCAAGGAUGAUACGAACUCAUGAAGAACAAGCACUGGAG
Bison bison bison is the source of this 105-nucleotide small nuclear RNA. The record is from Ensembl. Lineage: Eukaryota; Metazoa; Chordata; Mammalia; Artiodactyla; Bovidae.